RNAcentral lists this ribosomal RNA (405 nucleotides) under uncultured cyanobacterium. Its description in RNAcentral is "partial 16S ribosomal RNA". It matches the Rfam family "Bacterial small subunit ribosomal RNA", at positions 355 to 774 of the family's 1533-position model. Lineage: Bacteria; Bacillati; Cyanobacteriota. The record is from RNAcentral.
UGGGGAAUUUUCCGCAAUGGGCGAAAGCCUGACGGAGCAAUACCGCGUGAGGGAGGAAGGCUCUUGGGUUGUAAACCUCUUUUCUCAAGGAAGAAGAAAGUGACGGUACUUGAGGAAUCAGCAUCGGCUAACUCCGUGCCAGCAGCCGCGGUAAUACGGAGGAUGCAAGCGUUAUCCGGAAUGAUUGGGCGUAAAGCGUCCGCAGGUGGCGAUGUAAGUCUGCUGUUAAAGAGUGAGGCUCAACCUCAUAAGAGCAGUGGAAACUACAUAGCUAGAGUGCGUUCGGGGCAGAGGGAAUUCCUGGUGUAGCGGUGAAAUGCGUAGAGAUCAGGAAGAACACCGGUGGCGAAAGCGCUCUGCUAGGCCGCAACUGACACUGAGGGACGAAAGCUAGGGGAGCGAAUG